Melozone crissalis (California towhee) is the source of this 807-nucleotide long non-coding RNA. RefSeq lists it as uncharacterized. The record is from RefSeq and is a predicted model, not a curated record. Lineage: Eukaryota; Metazoa; Chordata; Aves; Passeriformes; Passerellidae. The transcript is spliced from 5 exons.
GUAGCAGAGAGACACAGUGUUUCCUUCCCCAUCCCAACCAAGGUGAACAUAUGUCCUCUAAUUUCCUAUGGCCUGUGUCAGGAAGAGUAUUUAUGGCCAAUUUAAAAGCAUACAGAAAGUUAAAUGCAGGGACCACUUUUUUUCCCUUGAGUUUGCAUAGGAAAAUAAUUAAAGGCAAACACUGUAUAUUGUAAGGAAUAUAUUGGUCUGGCAUAUGGCAUUCUUUUGUUGCAGAUUACAGACCCAGUGGCCUGAUCCUGCUAUCACUGAAAUGAAUGGCACAUUUCCUAUUGAUUUCAGGGAAAGAAAGAGCAGACCACAACCCAACAUGAGACAGGUGGAGGGAGGAGAUAGAAGUCUCAAAACUACAGGCCUAUGUAAAUUCUGCAGCAUCAGAAAGAGCGUGGCACAGCCCCUGUUUUGGGACAGAAGGACGGACAUCUAAGGGACAUGGGCAUUUCUUCUCAGCUUAGCCAUGAUCCAUAUAAUGGAGCAAUGUAGCCAAGCUGUGGGCUGACCGAGGUUUGCAUCACUGCCCUGACCCAGAUUGCAUCUGCAGUCAUCUGGAACUGACUACACGCCUGAACUGAUGAAAGAGGCUGUGGCAAUAUGGAUCUCUGGGGCCUUGGCAAGAUGCCAAUGCCAUAUUCACCUGUCCUCUGGAAGACAAAAGAGUGAGGAUCAGCAGUGUCAUUUAUUCGGCAAAAACUGAACAGAUGAGAACUGCCGUGACAGCCAAUAGACGAAAUUAAAAAUUAAGGAAAGGCUGAUAUGGAACAAGAGGAAAAUUAUCCCAGCAUUUUGCAC